Long non-coding RNA from Epinephelus moara (kelp grouper), 1834 nucleotides. RefSeq lists it as uncharacterized. The record is from RefSeq and is a predicted model, not a curated record. NCBI's taxonomy places the organism in Eukaryota, Metazoa, Chordata, Actinopteri, Perciformes, Serranidae. The transcript is spliced from 3 exons.
UUAUAUUGAAGUUAGAAAUUCCAGUAUUGUGACAGCACUGGCAGGGACUUUUUUUUUUAACAAUGAGCCUGUCGGUGGCAAAAACAAGCGCUUAAAGGGGUGGGUUCAAGUUGUUACAUUGCAGCCUGUUUUGCAGCUGCUGGCUGCAGCACUCUCCCUCAAUACGGGACCAAUGUCAAAAAUUUCAGUUCCUUUAGUCACUCACACAAAAUUUCACCUCACUAUGACCCCAACACACCAAUGUCUUCUCUCCUGCACAACCUUGGAAAGUCAUGGGCCAUUGUUAUCAUAAGAUAUUAUGUGGAAGAGGUUCUUGUCAAAACUAUAAAAAGAGGAAAAGUCCCCACCAAAAGAAACUGCUCCUAAACAAGAGAACUGUUGUUGAAAUAUUGUAGCUAAAUUGGGAGUGCAUCUGGUCUUGGCUGAGCACACUCCCCUUAUCAGAGAGCAGCGUGUGGACAAACAUCAUUGCAGCUGGCAAAGGGGGGAAGUGAGAAGGCGACGUAGGAGGAGUCACCCACCUAUAUGACUAGUGUGAGGAUCUAGGUCAUACGAUGGAGCUGCUGCCAACACCAUCAUCAUCACCCGCAUGUUAAAGCCAGACAGAAAAAAAAACAGCCAAAAUCACUUUGGACUUCUCAGUUUGGGAUAAGAAUUGUUGCCAUUUUGGUUACACUUGGAAAGCUUGCAGCUCUAAAAUGGGACACGGGGUCAGCUAUUGUAAAUGUUUGAACUUCAACACCCAGGAAUCUGAUGAUGUCAUAUCAUGUCACUUGACAAAACACUGACAUGUUUGCCGACCUGGGCAGUCUGGCAUUACUUUUUGGAUACUGAACAGAUAAUGGCAAAAAUAUCUAGUGUUGUAUAAUACAGAUAAUUCCUCUGCUUAACAUACCGAAUUCAUGACUUGGUUUGUUAAUGUUUGCCUGUCAAUUUGCAAGUGCUAGAUGAAUGAUGCUGUCCAUUCAGUCUGACUGGAAGAUGCAUUUCAGUAAUGAGAAUCUAGAGAAGGCCAUACUGAAUAAAAAAAAACAAAAAACUUUGGCACGGGAACUUCAGGAUUAAUAAAUAAGACUUUUACAACCCAGGGGACCUACUUAUUACUUUGAUAUCAAAUCUAUGCAAUACCAUUUACCUGUUCUAACUUCUUUUGUAGUCAUUUCUUAGGUUUGCAAAAGGGUUAUCACUUUAUUUAUGUCACUUAAGCACUCAAUGACAAUAGUUAAAAAGGCUAGGAAAAUUACCGCAGACUCCUCCCAUGUCCUGUUGUCAGAAUACAAACUGCUUCCAUCACAUAGGGUUCUCAUUAAACACAGAGAGGAGAUACCAGAAAAAGUAUAAAACUCUUUCAUCCCAUUGUCAGUGAAUUUCCUAAACUCAGGGGAAAAGGAGGAUGUAUAAUAAGGGGCAGUGUCGCAUGUAUUUAAAUGCACUUUAUGUCUCUUUCUGCACAAUGUAUGUAUUUUUAUGUGGCAGCCUUUAUAUUUAAGACAAAUUUCCCUGGGGACAGAUAAAGUAAUCUUGAAUCUUUUCAGGUCAUUCUGUGCUGUGUCUCUCUGCCUUCAUGUAACUGUAUUUGCUCUGCCUUUUAUUAGAACAUUGACAAGCAUGUACUUCUGUUCAGAGGUAAUAAUAUGAUGAUAUACAUCGUUACAUGCUAUACAUGUUUAUAAAAAUACGUUUUCUACUGUGGCAUCAAACACUUUAUCAUGUAGAGAUGUAUUAGUCCAUUGUGGGCAAUGUUGGAGUGCCUUAUGGUAAUAUUAAAUAUUAAAUUGAAGUGAAUAUUUUAACAUCAAUAUAAUGAAAGGCUUUAAUUUCUCAGGUAUUUUAA